Molecule: long non-coding RNA, 3665 nt
Organism: Xiphophorus hellerii (green swordtail)
Lineage: Eukaryota; Metazoa; Chordata; Actinopteri; Cyprinodontiformes; Poeciliidae
Exons: 2
Source: RefSeq, a predicted model, not a curated record
CAUCUUAAGUACUGGUGUGCUUGGGGUUGUUGUCUUGUUGGAACAUCAAUUUCAAGGGCCAUUUUCCUCUUUGGCUUCAGGGCAACAGGGCUCUCUUUAAGUGUUUUGUUGUUUUCAGAACUGAUGCAUGAUCUCUGUUAUGCAGUAAAUAGAACUGACAGCAGAAUGAGAAACAGGUAUUCAUAUGGUUUGUGAUUUUGGACUCUGUUCAUCGUGGGUGCCGUUUUGCAAGGAGGUAAUAUUUCUAUACCUUUCCCGGAUAAUGUUUUCUGUUCAGCCUUUGUUUCGUCACAGAGUGGUAAUUAGUUUGGUCAGACUGAGAAAGGAACGGUGGAGGUUAAAACAGAAAGAGGAAGGAUAGACCAUGGUGAGAAGGUGAACCUUACCAAUAGAUGUUUAAGUAAACUGCAAAAUGCAACAUUUAAGAAAAGAAAAAUCUCUUUUGUACCAAAACCUGAUUUCUUUCAGUUAGCUGACUAGUCUCUCCAUAAAGAGUUGGGGACAGUGAGAUUAUCAUUCAUCUAUGUAUCCACAUUACCACUUCUAAAGGACAAGGCAUUAUAAAACCUUAUGAGAGUCAUAGGAACUUGUAGUGUGUUUUCAUCCUACAGUGAAAAUCUUCCCCUGGACAUCCUGCUGAUCAGACCCUUGCAAUCCAACACAAGUCUGUCAAUUGUCUUCGCCACGACAGACUGCCUGGUCUGUCUUGGUGAAGAAAAAGCAGUUCCAAUAAAAAAGCAAAACUCUUGAUGUGCCAGUUAAUCUGUAACCCAACCUUCAGUAUGGCCAAAAUAACAAGCUCUCGCUUCCUCUGUAGGACUCAGCUUUAGAGACUGGCUGAGACGUUCUGUCACCUGCUGCUUCUCCGCGUUGGUUGGUGUGAUUCAGGCAUCUAACUUGGUCAGCACAUCCAAAUAGAAGAAGUUUCCAGAAUAGACCCAGAACUCACAGGGCAACUACAGCUACAACAACAAAUCUCUUUUGGCCAAGGACUUCCUUCAAAUAGCCCAGAGUGAGCUAGAGUGACAAUGAGGAUGAAGGAUGCAUGGAAGGAAAGACUUACACUAAUUGUUAUUUAAAUAAUUAAAUUAUUAUUAUUGCUGCUUCUGCUGGCUUUCAGCAGCAUAUAUUGGUAUUUGCAUUCAGUGCUGACCCUUCUCUGAGGAACCACAACACUUUAGACCAAAGCAAGAAGCCGUAAUUUGCUCUACACUCUCACUACUGAAAGCAGGUGUUUAGGGUCCCAAUUACCCUAAAUACCUGGACCAACUGUACUGAAAGGGCAAAAUGGCAAACUGUGGAGCAAACGUGGAACAAAAAUCACUGUAAUUACACAAACGGCCUGCUCCCAAACGUCCCCAAAUGUUGUUUGCUUGGGGAAAAUGUUACUUUGUGUGCCCCGAUUUAUACAAGUAAUAAAAAGUAAAAAGGGAGCGAGAUUAUGCCGCAGGUUGUGAAGAUUUUCAGACAGUUUUAUGAGCUGCGGGGAGAUAAACUGCAACAGCACUGGAUAAAUGUGAUUUACUCUCCGUGCUUUAUUUUCCUUUUGGCUCUUUUUUUCAGGUAUCAAAAAGCUCAAAUGAAACUAAGGACGUGCGACGGAGGAGACCUAUGAAAGUUCACAGAAAUGCAGAAAAGUUUCCAUUUUAAACAGGCAGAGUGGGGAGGCCAUUAAAAGACGUAAGGCUGUUCGGCGGGCUCAUCGGCGUCCGUCUGUCGCUGGCCGGCCUGCUCUGGGGGUCCGGGCGGAGGGGUUUUGUGGCUGCGGUGCUGCCUGAGGCCUGGCUGGGCUGAUUUACAGGCGGCGUGGGGACAUGUGUUGGGGAUACUCCCAACGCAGCCUGGUGGGGGCCAAAGCACCCGCUCUGCUGCUGCCGGAACAUCUGGAGUCUAGACUCAGUGGCUCUGCUGAGCGCCUCGCUCCCUUCCUUCUCCCACAUCCAUCCAUCUAUCCAUCCCUCUCUGCCUCAGCUACUCGCCCCCUCCAAAGCCUCUGAAACUCAGCUUUCAGUCACAGUGUUUGUGUAGCAGUUUGGAGUGGGUGGGGGCCGGGGGUACAGAGAAAUAACAUUUUUAAAAAAUCUUUGACAUUUUCACGUCACUUGCCUUUUCUAACCCCUCUGUGUCGUUCUCCCCUUUUUGUCAGUCUUGUCCAAACUCCAGCACAUCUGAUGGAGGACACAACAGCCAGAAAAACAAAACAGGAGAGCGGAUCAUGAAGCACAUGUGGAAGAUAUCAUAGAGAGGAUUGUUAUUCCCUUCGCUCUAAAGGCCGGAGCCAAGUGUUCACAGAGGGACCCCUCCAGUGGUCUUUCAACCGAUUGGCUCCCAAGCCGAAGAGCGGUCACAUAAACACAUUGGCUCUGACAUACAUAUUAAACAGCUGCAAUAAACACGAUACCUCCCUCCCCCCCCAGGGGCUCCAACACACGCCGCCUUGUUUUAAAGGUGGCUCCUGUUGGGUUCUGUCAGGACAAAUGUUCCUUAUUCUGUUGAUGACCUGGUACGAGGCUCCAGCUCUCUGUCCUCCCUUCCUUUACCUUCCUGCUUUAAAUAUAAACACCCACUUCUCUUCCUCACCGUCCAUCAGUCCUUAUUUGGCCUCACACUCAAACACAAAUACAGCUCCUUAAAAGUACAAAAAGCAGAGGAUGCUUGCGAGAUUUAUAAAAUCUAGUUCCCCUUUUUCUAUGUUCAGCAUGUACAAAUGUAAUGUGCAAACACAGAACCCUUUAUAUUUUUAUAGUUAUUCACCUACGUCAAUCUUUUCAGGAUUUACUCUACCCUAAGUAUUCACUCCUAGUGGACUUUCUUCUUCAUCAGUGUAUUUGAUUGGGAUUGACAAAAAUCAGAUGUGGGUAGAGAAAGCAAAAAUUGUACCAGUGUAAGAACAGCACAACCUCAACAUAUUUUUAUUCACGUAAAUGCAAAACUUUCCAAGAAAUUACUCAAGUAAGAGUAGAAAGGUAUUGAAUAUCAAGUCCUGAAUAUCAAAAAAUUACAUGAGCAGACAGACCAAAAUAUAAAGUUAGUGGAUAUUUUGGUAUUUUUAAAUACAAAAUAACAGAAUCGAGCAAAAGUAUAAAAAAAAAAAUCCAAAUCAUUUUCUUUCAGGGUGAAACAUUUGAAAUGUUAACAAAAACUGCAACUGAAAACUGAAGCUGAAUUUUUGUUUGCAACAAACUUGUUCUCCAUUCGGUGAAGUCGCUCACAGUGCACAGAGUAUCCAGGAAUUUUAUUCAAGUAAGAGUGGCAAUACUUCAUUUUAAAAAAAUGACUCAAAUAAAAGUAAAAAGUACAGCAUGGUAAAAAUACUCAUAAAAGGACAUUUUUUCCCUUAAAAAUUGCAAAAGUAAAUAUAACUGAGUUAGUUAGUACCCAGUGAAGUAUGGUGUAUAACAAUGACAUGGAAGGAAAACAAUAUGUAUCUUCACAUUUGUUUUUUUUUCAUAUACAAAGUGUAGAUUGCAUUUUCAAUACUUUGUAGUACCAUUUUUUUCUGCAAACAGAGAUCCACGCAGUCCUCCUUUGGAGUAUAGUCUUCAUAAGGGUUAGCACAUGUAAGUCCUAAAAUGUUUGCCCAUUCUUUACAAAGUAGCAGAAGAUCAGUCACACUGGAGGAAGACUGUCAGUGAUAAACACUUUUUUUUCAUAUAACAAGUUAA